RNAcentral lists this ribosomal RNA (460 nucleotides) under uncultured bacterium. RNAcentral describes it as "partial 16S ribosomal RNA". It matches the Rfam family "Bacterial small subunit ribosomal RNA", at positions 338 to 795 of the family's 1533-position model. The record is from RNAcentral.
CCUACGGGGGGCAGCAGUGAGGAAUAUUGGUCAAUGGACGAGAGUCUGAACCAGCCAAGUAGCGUGAAGGAUGACUGCCCUAUGGGUUGUAAACUUCUUUUAUAAAGGAAUAAAACGAGGCACGUGUGCCUUUUUGCAUGUACUUUAUGAAUAAGGAUCGGCUAACUACGUGCCAGCAGCCGCGGUAAUACGGAGAAUCCGAGCGUUAUCCGGAUUUAUUGGGGUUAAAGGGAGCGUAGAUGGGUUUUUAAGUCAGUUGUGAAAGUUUGCGGCUCAACCGUAAAAUUGCAAUUGAUACUGGAAGUCUUGAGUAUAGUUGAGGUAGGCGGAAUUCGUGGUGUAGCGGUGAAAUGCUUAGAUAUCACGAAGAACCCCGAUUGCGAAGGCAGCUUACUAAGCUGUGACUGACAUUGAUGCUCGAAAGUGUGGGUAUCAAACAGGAUUAGAUACCCUUGUAGUC